Molecule: ribosomal RNA, 468 nt
Filed under: uncultured bacterium
Lineage: Bacteria
Description: bacterial SSU rRNA
Rfam family: Bacterial small subunit ribosomal RNA
Source: RNAcentral
AGAGUUUGAUCAUGGCUCAGAACGUACGCUGGCGGCACGCCUUAUACAUGCAAGUCGAACGCAGUAGCAAUACUGAGUGGCAAACGGGUGAGUAUAAUGUGGGUAUCUGCCUUUUGGUUUGGAAUAACAUGGGGAAACUUAUGCUAAUACCGAAUAAGCCUUCACAGGGAAAGUUUUAUACGCCGAAAGAUGAGCCCGCACUUGAUUAGUUUGUUGGUGAGGUAAUGGCUCACCAAGACUACGAUCAAUAGCUGGUCUGAGAGGACGAUCAGCCACAUUGGGACUGAGACACGGCCCAGACUCCUACGGGAGGCAGCAGUAAGGAAUCUUGCACAAUGGGGGAAACCCUGAUGCAGCGAUGCCGCGUGAGUGAAGAAGGCCCUUGGGUUGUAAAACUCUUUCGUCGGGGAAGAAAAUGACUGUACCCGAAUAAGAAGGUCCGGCUAACUUCGUGCCAGCAGCCGCGGU